Paramuricea clavata is the source of this 507-nucleotide non-coding RNA. Lineage: Eukaryota; Metazoa; Cnidaria; Anthozoa; Malacalcyonacea; Plexauridae. The record is from the annotation of a GenBank genome assembly.
ACGUCUGUCAAAUGAGUAAUAUGGACCGAUUCUCGCCGAACAAGUAUUUUUAUAUUUUUUAGCAUUUUUUUUCUAAAAUACUCUCCCAGGGGCCAGGAUAUUUAUAGUUACUUAAUCCCCCCCAUUGAACACAUAUAAGCAAUUUAUUGAGGAUUUAAAAACAGGCGAAAUUGAAGAAAAAUUUCACACAAGGCACCAGCUCAUUUUACCGGGCUUUACUGUAAAUCCCCCAUUAAGAGUUCAAAUUUAGACUUUUAUCCUAUGGGGGGCCGCUUUGGUGUUUAUAUAGGAUAAACACAGUUAAAAGGAUGCGGCAAAAUAUUUUAUUAUUUCAUUUUAAAGAACUUUUAAAAUUAUAUAUAAAUCUCCUUUACCGGUUUUGCGUAACUUUAUUAUUUCUUGAGAUAUUUGAAAAGAAAAAAUCACAAAUCAGCAAGCUUUCCGCCCAUCUUGGAUUUUGGCGGAUAUGCAUGUGACAUCAUAAGCAGGGAGCCCAACAACAUAUAG